GGGGGGGGGGGGGGGGGGGGGGGGGGGGGGCGGGGGGAGCGGGGGGGGCCGGGGGGGGGGGGGGGCGCGGGGGGCGAACGGGUGAGUAACACGUGGGUAACCUGCCCUUGGCUUGGGGAUAACUUCAGGAAACUGGGGCUAAUACCGGAUAGGAGCUCCUGCUGCAUGGUGGGGGUUGGAACGUUUCGGCGGUUGGGGAUGGACUCGCGGCGUAUCAGCGUGUUGGUGGGGUAGUGGCUUACCAAGGCUUUGACGGGUAGCCGGCCUGAGAGGGUGACCGGCCACAUUGGGACUGAGGUACGGCCCAGACUCCUACGGGAGGCAGCAGUGGGGAAUAUUGCACAAUGGGCGGAAGCCUGAUGCAGCAACGCCGCGUGCGGGAUGACGGCCUUCGGGUUGUAAACCGCUUUCGCCUGUGACGAAGCGUGAGUGACGGUAAUGGGUAAAGAAGCACCGGCUAACUACGUG
This 468-nucleotide ribosomal RNA is filed under the name uncultured bacterium. RNAcentral describes it as "partial 16S ribosomal RNA". The stretch from base 58 to 468 matches the Rfam family "Bacterial small subunit ribosomal RNA", at positions 39 to 507 of the family's 1533-position model. The record is from RNAcentral.